AGUGAACGCUGGCGGUAGGCCUAACACAUGCAAGUCGAACGGCAGCACAGGAGAGCUUGCUCUCUGGGUGGCGAGUGGCGGACGGGUGAGGAAUACAUCGGAAUCUACUUUUUCGUGGGGGAUAACGUAGGGAAACUUACGCUAAUACCGCAUACGACCUACGGGUGAAAGCAGGGGACCUUCGGGCCUUGCGCGAUUGAAUGAGCCGAUGUCGGAUUAGCUAGUUGGCGGGGUAAAGGCCCACCAAGGCGACGAUCCGUAGCUGGUCUGAGAGGAUGAUCAGCCACACUGGAACUGAGACACGGUCCAGACUCCUACGGAAGGCAGAAGUGGGGAAUAUUGGACAAUGGGCGCAAGCCUGAUCCAGCCAUACCGCGUGGGUGAAGAAGGCCUUCGGGUUGUAAAGCCCUUUUGUUGGGAAAGAAAUCCAGCUGGCUAAUACCCGGUUGGGAUGACGGUACCCAAAGAAUAAGCACCGGCUAACUUCGUGCCAGCAGCCGCCGUAA
This 506-nucleotide ribosomal RNA is filed under the name uncultured bacterium. Its description in RNAcentral is "partial 16S ribosomal RNA". It matches the Rfam family "Bacterial small subunit ribosomal RNA", at positions 29 to 523 of the family's 1533-position model. The record is from RNAcentral.